Molecule: long non-coding RNA, 1070 nt
Filed under: Homo sapiens (human)
Lineage: Eukaryota; Metazoa; Chordata; Mammalia; Primates; Hominidae
Description: non-protein coding lnc-IGF1R-1:3
Source: RNAcentral
UUAUGAACCAGGGUAUUGCCUCCAACCAAGCCUUAACAAUCUCAUCCUCCCUUUAGCCUUCCAUGAUUAGACCUCAACUCAUGAGAACUCUUGCCUUGCUCACAAGUGGGAGUAAAUGCUCAUAGCUCUAGAAAUCUCCCAGGAACCAGACAUCACGGAAACUAGAAAGGCUAAGGGAGUCCAAUCUUCCUCUAAAUUGGCCAACAGUAGAGUGGUGGAAAGAGAACAAGCUGCAAACCAGACAGACCCAAGCUUGAAUCUCACCUCUGCCAAGCUACCAGGGACCUACCCCGAACUUUCAUGAACCCCUGGUAGCUGAAUAGCAGCUUGUCUAAGCGAGGUGCAGGGAUUUUGUCAAAGUCGGCCUCGGUGUUAAAGGCAGGGCCACCUACCAUGAACUUCUCUCUGUGACUUUAUUCUUUAGCAGUGCUCAAGUGUAAAUAAACUUGUUUACCAGGAUCAGAAUGGCCAUGUUAAUGAAGUCUUAUUUGUGUCACCACAAUGACAAGUAAUUUGUGCACAGCUGGACUCGGAGAGGGGACAAAACCAGAGAAAUUGUAUUUCUGUUCUGAAGUUUCCAUACAGAUGCCUUAGGCCAAAGUUAGUACAGCCAAUAUUUGCCUGUUUCUUUGGAUUGUGUGUCCAUGCUGGAGAAAAGCCUUGUUACUGUGCCCAGUGUGGUAAACGAAAUUAUAUGUACGCAGUGAGAAGAAAAAUGAAAUAAGAAGCACUGAUGAAUGUACCCACGGGUGUGACCUUGGGGGCCAGUGUGUGGUUUUUAUGAAAUGAACGCAUGAAUACGAGGACCCUAAUUAUUGCUUUCAACGGACAAAGUAUGGUGAAUAUAUAGAGAACGUUGCUGUACAACACUGGCUGUGUCUCAAAGCGGCUUUAGAAGUAAAUAUAGAAAUUCUUUGGUACAUGGUAUUGCAUAGAAAAGUCAUUAAGAAAAAAGCAAGACAAUUUGUUAAGACCUUGUUAAGUGGAGCUGGGGGAUGAUUAAUUUUGUUUGUUUGUUUUUGUUGUUCCCUGGUAGAGCUCAACAAACUACAGACCACGGGCCAAAUCUG